Molecule: long non-coding RNA, 935 nt
Filed under: Phaseolus vulgaris (common bean)
Lineage: Eukaryota; Viridiplantae; Streptophyta; Magnoliopsida; Fabales; Fabaceae
Description: long non-coding RNA (PVUL_LNC004549)
Source: RNAcentral
UUUGUAUGAAUGACUUGUUCAUGAACUACUAAAUUCAUAAUUAUUGCUUCUAAAGGUUCAUGUUACCUUCUAUUCUUCCCUGCCAUUGUAUCAAUAUCCAUAUGAUACCAAGCUAGAGAUGGACCUGAUCUGCAUUAAGAAAAUAACAGCACAAGAUUAUGUUAUGCAAAAUAUGAAUGUAGAAAACAUAGGACAUUCACCAAUGAUUCUCAGACAUCUUUUUCCAAAGGCAAAGCAUAUGCACUUAUAGUCAGCCAUUACCGAAAUGGUAAUGGAUAAAUCUUUUAAGUUCCAAUAACAAACCCAUCAGAUAACUAUAAUUUUCCUGGAUAAUUGAUCUGAACUUAUUAAGAGAAACUAUAAUACAGCAGUAAAAUUCCUAAACCCUUCAACAAAACUGUUUCAGAAAAUUUCCAUAAACAUUCAAUUUCAAAUCAUGCAUCUUCUAUAAAAACAAUUGAGAAACCCGGAUUGCAACUAAACUCAAUCAAUCAAAUAGGAGAUUACAAUCCUCACAAUCAACCAAACAGAUAUCAGAAGCAACCAAAUACCUCAAUAAGUCCCAAAAACUCAACCAAUCCAAAGCUACUCAAUGACGGAGAAAAAUGGUUGGCAGAGACAGUGGCAUAGAAAUGCAAUGAUAGAGGAUAGCAGAAAUGGCGAUGCAUUCUUCAACCUGACAAUGCAUAAAGCGCCGCUCUCAUGUCUCCAGGUUCACCAGAUUCCAUUUGUUGUGAGAAAGGAUGCCAGUUGUAGAUUUCAAUCCGAAGUUGAUACAGGAAUUUUCCUCCAAAUAAUUAACACAACCUCCCAUCAAGCUGGAAACAUUGAAGCACUUGGAAUCAGCUUCAAAGUCUCCAAACAAGCUCAAAGACCAGCAAGGUGGAAAGCAAAGAAGACAAUCUACUGUAAGAUCUGCCAAUUGGCACUACUGU